AGCAGCCGCGGUAGUUCCAGCUCCAAUAGCGUAUAUUAAAGUUGCUGCAGUUAAAAAGCUCGUAGUUGAAUUUCGGGACCAUCAUGUCGGUCGUGCCUCGGUACGUACUGGCAUUGUUGGUUUCUCCCUUCUGACGAACCAUGAUGUCAUUAAUUUGGUGUCAUGGGGAAUCAGGACUGUUACUUUGAAAAAUUAGAGUGUUUAAAGCAGGCUCACGCUUGAAUACAUUAGCAUGGAAUAAUGAAAUAGGACGUUUGAUUCUAUUUUGUUGGUUUCUAGGAUCGACGUAAUGAUUAAUAGGGAUAGUUGGGGGCAUUAGUAUUCAAUUGUCAGAGGUGAAAUUCUUGGAUUUAUUGAAGACUAACUACUGCGAAAGCAUUUGCCAAGGAUGUUUUCAUUAAUCAAGAACGAAAGUUAGGGGAUCGAAGACGAUCAGAUACCGUCGUAGUC
This 450-nucleotide ribosomal RNA is filed under the name uncultured Glomeromycotina. RNAcentral describes it as "SSU rRNA". It matches the Rfam family "Eukaryotic small subunit ribosomal RNA", at positions 569 to 1025 of the family's 1831-position model. The record is from RNAcentral. Lineage: Eukaryota; Fungi; Glomeromycota.